CAGCCAUUGACGUUGCUCCUUGAAGGGUGAUACUGUGAAGUUGCGUCAGGCUGUGAUGUGCAGAAGGAAGCAGGUUCAAACUCACUCUUGUUUUCCCUGCAGUGCCACUGAUAGCCGUGAACUCCGUGACAAUUGUGCUCCUCCUGUUGUUCGGUUGAAGAUUCCUGCUGCAAAAUCUUUUGGACAUCCAAAGAAGCGAGUUGCUAGCCUCAUUGCUCUGAGUUUUCCGGGGAUACAGCACGGUUUAACUUGUUUUGCAGAGUGGAGCAGAUCCAGGAGGAGAGCCUGCGUUGUUUC
This 297-nucleotide long non-coding RNA is filed under the name Gallus gallus (chicken). Its description in RNAcentral is "long non-coding RNA NONGGAT011617". The record is from RNAcentral. Lineage: Eukaryota; Metazoa; Chordata; Aves; Galliformes; Phasianidae.